AGAACGAACGCUGGCGGCAUGCCUAACACAUGCAAGUCGAACGAGACCUUCGGGUCUAGUGGCGCACGGGUGCGUAACGCGUGGGAACCUGCCUUUAGGUUCGGAAUAACUCUCCGAAAGGGGUGCUAAUGCCGAAUAAUGUCUUCGGACCAAAGAUUUAUCGCCUUUAGAUGGGCCCGCGUUGGAUUAGCUAGUUGGUGGGGUAAAGGCCUACCAAGGCGACGAUCCAUAGCUGGUCUUAGAGGAUGAUCAGCCACACUGGGACUGAGACACGGCCCAGACUCCUACGGGAGGCAGCAGUGGGGAAUAUUGGACAAUGGGCGAAAGCCUGAUCCAGCAAUGCCGCGUGAGUGAUGAAGGCCUUAGGGUUGUAAAGCUCUUUUACCCGGGAUGAUAAUGACAGUACCGGGAGAAUAAGCUCCGGCUAACUCCGCGCCAGCAGCCGC
Molecule: ribosomal RNA, 446 nt
Filed under: uncultured bacterium
Lineage: Bacteria
Description: SSU rRNA
Rfam family: Bacterial small subunit ribosomal RNA
Source: RNAcentral